ACCACGGAGUCUAGCAUGUGCGCGAGUCAUUGGGACUCUAACGAAACCUAAAGGCGUAAUGAAAGUGAAGGUUCGCCACGCGCGAACCGAGGGAGGAUGGACGAUCGAUCGUGGUCGUCCCGCACUCCCUGGGCGUCUCGUUCUCAUCGCGAGAAGAGGCGCACCAAGAGCGUACACGCUGGGACCCGAAAGAUGGUGAACUAUGCCUGGUCAGGACGAAGUCAGGGGAAACCCUGAUGGAGGUCCGUAGCGAUUCUGACGUGCAAAUCGAUCGUCGGAACUGGGUAUAGGGGCGAAAGACUAAUCGAACCAUCUAGUAGCUGGUUCCCUCCGAAGUUUCCCUCAGGAUAGCUGGCGCUCGCUUCUCGCGAGUCUCAUUCGGUAAAGCGAAUGAUUAGAGGCAUUGGGGUCGAAACGGCCUCAACCUAUUCUCAAACUUUAAAUGGGUGAGAUCUCCGGCUUGCUUGAACUGUGAAGCCGCGAGAUAUCGGAUCAGAGUGCCAAGUGGGCCACUUUUGGUAAGCAGAACUGGCGCUGUGGGAUGAACCAAACGCCGAGUUAAAGCGCCUAAAUCGACGCUUAUGGGAUACCAUGAAAGGCGUUGGUAACUUAAGACAGCAGG
RNAcentral lists this ribosomal RNA (622 nucleotides) under Anomala aulacoides. Its description in RNAcentral is "eukaryotic LSU rRNA". It matches the Rfam family "Eukaryotic large subunit ribosomal RNA", at positions 665 to 1244 of the family's 3401-position model. The record is from RNAcentral. Lineage: Eukaryota; Metazoa; Arthropoda; Insecta; Coleoptera; Scarabaeidae.